This 682-nucleotide ribosomal RNA is filed under the name uncultured Bacillota bacterium. RNAcentral describes it as "bacterial SSU rRNA". It matches the Rfam family "Bacterial small subunit ribosomal RNA", at positions 1 to 693 of the family's 1533-position model. The record is from RNAcentral. Lineage: Bacteria; Bacillati; Bacillota.
GGAUCCAGACUUUGAUUCUGGCUCAGGACGAACGCUGGCGGCGUGCCUAACACAUGCAAGUCGAGCGGAGACAGUGAGUAGCUUGCUACGAGCUGUUUUAGCGGCGGACGGGUGAGUAACGCGUGAGCAACCUUUCCCAGACAGGGGAAUAACACACCGAAAGGUGUACUAAUACCGCAUAAGACCACGGGAUCACAUGGUUCUGAGGUAAAAGAUUUAUCGGUUUGGGGUGGGCUCGCGUCCGAUUAGGUAGUUGGUGAGGUAACGGCCCACCAAGCCGACGAUCGGUAGCCGACCUGAGAGGGUGAUCGGCCACAUUGGGACUGAGACACGGCCCAAACUCCUACGGGAGGCAGCAGUGGGGAAUAUUGGGCAAUGGGGGGAACCCUGACCCAGCAACGCCGCGUGGAGGAAGAAGGUUUUCGGAUCGUAAACUCCUGUCCUUGGGGACGAGUAGAAGACGGUAUCCAAGGAGGAAGCCCCGGCUAACUACGUGCCAGCAGCCGCGGUAAUACGUAGGGGGCAAGCGUUGUCCGGAAUAAUUGGGCGUAAAGGGCGCGUAGGCGGCUCGGUAAGUCUGGAGUGAAAGUCCUGCUUUUAAGGUGGGAAUUGCUUUGGAUACUGUCGGGCUUGAGUGCAGGAGAGGUUAGUGGAAUUCCCAGUGUAGCGGUGAAAUGCGUAG